This 505-nucleotide ribosomal RNA is filed under the name uncultured bacterium. RNAcentral describes it as "partial 16S ribosomal RNA". It matches the Rfam family "Bacterial small subunit ribosomal RNA", at positions 28 to 507 of the family's 1533-position model. The record is from RNAcentral.
GACGAACGCUGGCGGCGUGCCUAAUACAUGCAAGUAGAACGCACAGUUUAUUCCGUAGCUUGCUACACCAUAGACUGUGAGUUGCGAACGGGUGAGUAACGCGUAGGUAACCUGCCUGGUAGCGGGGGAUAACUAUUGGAAACGAUAGCUAAUACCGCAUAAUAUUAAUUAUUGCAUGAUAAUUAAUUGAAAGGUGCAAUUGCACCACUACCAGAUGGACCUGCGUUGUAUUAGCUAGUAGGUGAGGUAACGGCUCACCUAGGCGACGAUACAUAGCCGACCUGAGAGGGUGAUCGGCCACACUGGGACUGAGACACGGCCCAGACUCCUACGGGAGGCAGCAGUAGGGAAUCUUCGGCAAUGGACGAAAGUCUGACCGAGCAACGCCGCGUGAGUGAAGAAGGUUUUCGGAUCGUAAAGCUCUGUUGUAAGAGAAGAACGGGUGUGAGAGUGGAAAGUUCACACUGUGACGGUAUCUUACCAGAAAGGGACGGCUAACUACGUG